Molecule: small RNA, 284 nt
Filed under: Pan troglodytes (chimpanzee)
Lineage: Eukaryota; Metazoa; Chordata; Mammalia; Primates; Hominidae
Description: Metazoan signal recognition particle RNA (ENSPTRG00000042302.2)
Source: RNAcentral
GCCAGGCGUGGUGGCUCACGCCUGUAAUCCCAGCACUUUGGGAGGCUGAGGUGGGCGGAUCACCUGAGGUCAGGAGUUCUAGAACAGUCUGGUCAACAUGGUGAAACCAUGUCUCUACUAAAAAUACAAAAUAUUAGCAGGACAUGGUGGCGGGUGCCUGUAAUCCCAGCUACUCGGGAGGCUGAGGCAGGAGAAUCACUUGAGUCCGGAAGGUGGAGGUUGUAGUGAGCUGAGAUCGUGCCAUUGCGCUCCAGCCUGGGCAACAAGAGUGAAACUCCGUCUCA